UUCGAUCAUUGACCAGAUUGAACGCUGGCGGGAUGUUUUACACCGCAUGCAAGUCGAACGGCAGCACGGACUUCGGUCUGGUGGCAAAGAAUGGCGAACGGGUGAUAAUGUAUCGGAGACGUACUAAUGCCAGGGGAUAGCUUCUCGCGAAAGCGUAGCUAAUACCUUAACUUCACGCGGAAAGCAGGACCUUCGGGCCUCGCACUAAUGGGCAGCCUGAUAUCAGGUUGGCUAGUUGGUGGGGUAACGGCUCACCCAAAUGACGAUCCGUAGCUGGUGAGAGGACGACCAGCUGCUGGGACUGAGACACGGCCCAGACUCUACAGGAGGCAGCAGUGGGGAAUUUUGGACAAUGGGGAAACCCUGAUCCAGCCAUCCCGCGUGUGCGAUGAAGGCCUUCCGGGUUGUAAAGCACUUUUGGCAGGAAAGAAACGGCACGGGGAUAAUACCCCCGUGCAACUGACAGACACCUGCAGAAUAAGCACCGGCUAACCACGUCGCCAGCAGCCGCGUAUACGUAGGUGCGGCGUUAAUCAAAGAUUACUGGGCAUAAAGCGUGCGCAGGCGGUUCGGAAAGAAAGAUGUGAAAUCCCAGAGCUUAACUUUGGAACUGCAUUUUUAACUACCGAGCUAGAGUGUGUCAGAGGAGGUGGAAUUCCGCGUAGCAGUGAAAUGCGUAGAUAUGCGGAGGAACACCCGAUGGCGAACAACCUCUGGGAUAUAACACUGACGCUCAUGCGAAAGCGUGUAAGGAGCAAACAGGAUUAGAUACCCUGGUAGUACGCCUAAACGAUGUCAACUAGCUGUUGGGGCCUUCGGGCCUUGGUAGCGCAACUAACGCGUGAAGUUGACCGCCUGGAAGUACGGUCGCAAGAUUAAGCCUCAAGGUGUGGGGACCCGCACAAGCGGUGGAUGAUGUGGAUUAAUUCGAUGCAACGCGAAAACAUACCUACCGCUGACAUGUCGGAAUCCCAGCGAGAUUUGGGAGUGCUCGCAGAGAACCAGACACAGGUGCUGCAUGGCUGUCGUCAGCUCAUGUCGUGGAUGUUGGGUUAAGUCCCGCAACGAGCGCAACCCUUGUCAUUAGUUGCACCGAAAGGGCACACUCUAAUGCAGACUGCCGACAAACCUGGAAGGUGGGGAUGACGUCAAGUCCUCAUAUUAUGGGUGGGCUUCACACGCCAUACAAUGGUCAGAGAAGGGGUCGCCAACCUACGCGAAGCCAAUCCCAGAAAACCCGAUCAUCGUCCGGAUCGCAGUCAGCAUCAGCUGCGUGAGAGUCGAAUCGCUAGUAAUCGCGGAUCAGCAUGUCGCGGUGAAUACGUUCCAGGUCUUGUACACACGCCCGUCCACCAUAUGAUGCUGGUUUACCAGAAGUAGUUAGCCUUAACCGUAAAGGAGGCGAUUACCACGGUAAGUUCAUGACUGGGUGAAGUCGUAACAAGGUAG
RNAcentral lists this ribosomal RNA (1449 nucleotides) under uncultured Bordetella sp. Its description in RNAcentral is "partial 16S-23S ribosomal RNA intergenic spacer". It matches the Rfam family "Bacterial small subunit ribosomal RNA". Lineage: Bacteria; Pseudomonadati; Pseudomonadota; Betaproteobacteria; Burkholderiales; Alcaligenaceae. The record is from RNAcentral.